This 464-nucleotide ribosomal RNA is filed under the name uncultured bacterium. RNAcentral's name for it is "partial 16S ribosomal RNA". It matches the Rfam family "Bacterial small subunit ribosomal RNA", at positions 28 to 507 of the family's 1533-position model. The record is from RNAcentral.
GACGAACGCUGGCGGCGUGCUUAAUACAUGCAAGUCGAACGGUAAGGCCCCAGCUUUCUGGCGUACACGAGUGGCGAACGGGUGUGUAUCACGCGUGUGACCUCCCCCGCACUUCGGGGUAAGCCUUGGAAACUCGGUCUAUUAUCGGAUAUGACCGCUUCGUGCGGAUGUUUUGGUAAUGAUGUCGGUGUUGGCUGGGCCCGCUGCCUAUCAGCUUGUUGGUGGGGUAAUUGCCUACCAAGGCGGCGACGGGUAGCCGGCCUGAGAGGGUGGACGGCCACAAUGGGACUGAGGAAGGGGCCAGAAGGCAACGGGAGGCAGCGGUGGAAAAUAUUACGCAAUAGGCGGAAGCCUGAUGCAGAGACGCCGGGUGGGGGAUGACGGCUUUCGGGUUAUAAACUCCUUUCAACAUCGACGAACAUUUUCUGACGGUAGAUGGAGAAGAAGCACCGGCUAACUACGUG